ACACUUUCAAGUUGAGUACUCAUAAUCUUUUGGGUACUGUGAUUUUCUUCUUGAAUAGGAAGAUCUGAUGC
This is a small nucleolar RNA of Impatiens glandulifera, 71 nucleotides long. RefSeq annotates it as small nucleolar RNA snoR64a. The record is from RefSeq and is a predicted model, not a curated record. The transcript has a single exon. NCBI's taxonomy places the organism in Eukaryota, Viridiplantae, Streptophyta, Magnoliopsida, Ericales, Balsaminaceae.